UACGAAGGGGGCUAACGUUGUUCGGAUUUACUGGGCGUAAAGCGCACGUAGGCGGGUCUUUAAGUCAGGGGUGAAAUCCCGAGGCUCAACCUCGGAACUGCCUUUGAUACUGGAGACCUUGAGUUCGGGAGAGGUGAGUGGAACUGCGAGUGUAGAGGUGAAAUUCGUAGAUAUUCGCAAGAACACCAGUGGCGAAGGCGGCUCACUGGCCCGAAACUGACGCUGAGGUGCGGAAGCGUGGGGAGCAAACAGG
Molecule: ribosomal RNA, 253 nt
Filed under: uncultured bacterium
Lineage: Bacteria
Description: partial 16S ribosomal RNA
Rfam family: Bacterial small subunit ribosomal RNA
Source: RNAcentral